Pangasianodon gigas (Mekong giant catfish) is the source of this 73-nucleotide non-coding RNA. The record is from the annotation of a GenBank genome assembly. Lineage: Eukaryota; Metazoa; Chordata; Actinopteri; Siluriformes; Pangasiidae.
UGUGGGGUAGCUCAGUGGUUAAGACGUUGGACUAUGGAUUGGAAGGUUGAGAGUUUAAAUCCCAGCACCACCA